AGUGAACGCUGGCGGUAGGCCUAACACAUGCAAGUCGAACGGCAGCACAGUAAGAGCUUGCUCUUACGGGUGGCGAGUGGCGGACGGGUGAGGAAUACAUCGGAAUCUACUUUUUCGUGGGGGAUAACGUAGGGAAACUUACGCUAAUACCGCAUACGACCUACGGGUGAAAGCAGGGGAUCUUCGGACCCUGCGCGAUUGAAUGAGCCGAUGUCGGAUUAGCUAGUUGGCGGGGUAAAGGCCCACCAAGGCGACGAUCCGUAGCUGGUCUGAGAGGAUGAUCAGCCACACUGGAACUGAGACACGGUCCAGACCCCUACGGGAGGCAGCAGUGGGGAAUAUUGGACAAUGGGCGCAAGCCUGAUCCAGCCAUACCGCGUGGGUGAAGAAGGCCUUCGGGUUGUAAAGCCCUUUUGUUGGGAAAGAAAAGCAGCAGGUUAAUACCCCGCUGUUCUGACGGUACCCAAAGAAUAAGCACCGGCUAACUUCGUG
RNAcentral lists this ribosomal RNA (492 nucleotides) under uncultured bacterium. RNAcentral's name for it is "partial 16S ribosomal RNA". It matches the Rfam family "Bacterial small subunit ribosomal RNA", at positions 29 to 507 of the family's 1533-position model. The record is from RNAcentral.